Molecule: long non-coding RNA, 359 nt
Organism: Mesocricetus auratus (golden hamster)
Lineage: Eukaryota; Metazoa; Chordata; Mammalia; Rodentia; Cricetidae
Exons: 3
Source: RefSeq, a predicted model, not a curated record
GAGAGGAAAUGGCCCAGUAUCUCCCUCUCAACUUGCAGCAACUGCAGUAUAGCUGGAAGAACAAGGCCCAGAAAGGCUGAGCAAUGGCCUCAGGACACACAGCUUGCCGGAGGCACAGUCAGAGAGCUAGGAAAACGAGUGGAGAGCCUUCACUCUUUCUUCUGCCUGGCUGUCUCACACACGAACCUUUCAUAAAUGAAUGCUAACAGUUGUGAAUGAGGAGGAACCAGCCUGUCUGCUAAGUAGAUUUCCUGCACCGCCAUCCUGGCCCCUUUGUACUAACCCUUGAUACAACGGAAGUAUGUGUCUUAGAAAGGGAAGACUGGCUUCUACUUCACGGGCGAACAGGUACUGGGAAA